This 216-nucleotide ribosomal RNA is filed under the name uncultured bacterium. RNAcentral describes it as "partial 16S ribosomal RNA". It matches the Rfam family "Bacterial small subunit ribosomal RNA", at positions 30 to 243 of the family's 1533-position model. The record is from RNAcentral.
AUUGAACGCUGGCGGCAGGCCUAACACAUGCAAGUCGAGCGGCAGCACGGGUACUUGUACCUGGUGGCGAGCGGCGGACGGGUGAGUAAUGCCUAGGAAUCUGCCUGGUAGUGGGGGAUAACGCUCGGAAACGGACGCUAAUACCGCAUACGUCCUACGGGAGAAAGCAGGGACCGUUCGGGCCGUUGCGCUAUCAGAUGAGCCUAGGUCGGAUUA